RNAcentral lists this ribosomal RNA (485 nucleotides) under Phaeoacremonium fraxinopennsylvanicum. RNAcentral describes it as "SSU rRNA". It matches the Rfam family "Eukaryotic small subunit ribosomal RNA", at positions 405 to 895 of the family's 1831-position model. Lineage: Eukaryota; Fungi; Ascomycota; Sordariomycetes; Togniniales; Togniniaceae. The record is from RNAcentral.
GGCUACUACAUCCAAGGAAGGCAGCAGGCGCGCAAAUUACCCAAUCCCGACACGGGGAGGUAGUGACAAUAAAUACUGAUACAGGGCUCUUUUGGGUCUUGUAAUUGGAAUGAGUACAAUUUAAAUCCCUUAACGAGGAACAAUUGGAGGGCAAGUCUGGUGCCAGCAGCCGCGGUAAUUCCAGCUCCAAUAGCGUAUAUUAAAGUUGUUGCAGUUAAAAAGCUCGUAGUUGAACCUUGGGCCUGGCUGGCCGGUCCGCCUCACCGCGUGCACUGGUCCGGCCGGGCCUUUCCCUCUGGGGAGCCGCAUGCCCUUCACUGGGUGUGUCGGGGAACCAGGACUUUUACUGUGAAAAAAUUAGAGUGUUCAAAGCAGGCCUAUGCUCGAAUACAUUAGCAUGGAAUAAUAGAAUAGGACGUGUGGUUCUAUUUUGUUGGUUUCUAGGACCGCCGUAAUGAUUAAUAGGGACAGUCGGGGGCAUCAGU